GACGAACGCUGGCGGCGUGCUUAACACAUGCAAGUCGAACGGAAAGGCCCUGCUUUUGUGGGGUGCUCGAGUGGCGAACGGGUGAGUAACACGUGAGUAACCUGCCCUUGACUUUGGGAUAACUUCAGGAAACUGGGGCUAAUACCGGAUAGGAGCUCCUGCUGCAUGGUGGGGGUUGGAAAGUUUCGGCGGUUGGGGAUGGACUCGCGGCUUAUCAGCUUGUUGGUGGGGUAGUGGCUUACCAAGGAUUUGACGGGUAGCCGGCCUGAGAGGGUGACCGGCCACAUUGGAACUGAGAUACGGCCCAGACUCCUACGGGCGGCAGCAGUGGGGAAUAUUGCACAAUGGGCGGAAGCCUGAUGCAGCAACGCCGCGUGCGGGAUGACGGCCUUCGGGUUGUAAACCGCUUUCGCCUGUGACGAAGCGUGAGUGACGGUAAUGGGUAAAGAAGCACCGGCUAACUACGUG
RNAcentral lists this ribosomal RNA (468 nucleotides) under uncultured bacterium. Its description in RNAcentral is "partial 16S ribosomal RNA". It matches the Rfam family "Bacterial small subunit ribosomal RNA", at positions 28 to 507 of the family's 1533-position model. The record is from RNAcentral.